CACGCGCAGCACCGAAGGAAUCCAAAGGGUUCAUAGGCACAGCCGUGUCCGUCGUAUCUUGGCGAGAACAGGGAGGACGAAGCAGAUUCUGUAGUUUUACGUGUCAUUUUCUUCAACACGUGGCUACGAGAUCAGACUGAACAAGACACCGUAGUAGAAGAAUACAUCAGUUUCUUGUACUAGUAGGAGGAUACAGGGGAUUGGUUGCUGCUCCCCUAGACAAAAACCUUUCCAGUAUUUACUUGUGGCUACUGCCUUGAGUGGGCUCUGGGAAGGAUGGAUGCAUCAGCCGCAGCGAGAUAUCAGUUUAGCGUUUACUACUAGCAGAUAGCCAGCCAAGAAAGUUGCGUUCAGGCAGUUGAACGGCUGCGCUGCAGGAGAAGAAGGCCAAGUAGGACAGCCGGACAGUCUCUAGUUUCCAGGGCAUGCAUCUCCAGUCUUCACGCACAUGAGAAAAGUGACGACAGUUAAAGAAAAAUAGUGCCCAUCAAAACAAUUAAAGCCAGUCAAAAGGAUCAGUAGAAAUCUUGAAGGGAGAAGUACGAGUGUAUGACCCGAAUUCAGGAGCAGAAAGAGCAGGAAAGUAAAUAAAAUCAAGUAUCACUACAGAACUAAUCUGGUGAGCAAGAUAAAAAAGGCAAAGCAAGAACAUCAACUCCAGAGGGCACUAAGUGUAACAGACCUGAUG
Molecule: long non-coding RNA, 688 nt
Organism: Triticum aestivum (bread wheat)
Lineage: Eukaryota; Viridiplantae; Streptophyta; Magnoliopsida; Poales; Poaceae
Exons: 3
Source: RefSeq, a predicted model, not a curated record